This 348-nucleotide unclassified non-coding RNA is filed under the name soil metagenome. Its description in RNAcentral is "partial contains 5.8S ribosomal RNA, internal transcribed spacer 2, and large subunit ribosomal RNA". The stretch from base 1 to 120 matches the Rfam family "5.8S ribosomal RNA", at positions 35 to 154 of the family's 154-position model. The record is from RNAcentral.
GAUGAAGAACGCAGCGAAAUGCGAUAAGUAAUGUGAAUUGCAGAAUUCCGUGAAUCAUCGAAUCUUUGAACGCAUAUUGCGCCCUCUGGUAUUCCGGAGGGCAUGCCUGUCCGAGCGUCAUUUCAACCCUCAGGGCCCCUUCGGGGGACCUGGCGUUGGGGAUCGGCCCGCCCCCGUGCGGCGCCGUCCCCGAAAUAUAGUGGCGGUCUCGCUGCAGCCUCCCCUGCGUAGUAGCACACCUCGCACUGGAGAGCGGCGCGGCACGCCGUGAAACCCCCAACUUCUGAAUGUUGACCUCGGAUCAGGUAGGAAUACCCGCUGAACUUAAGCAUAUCAAUAAGCGGAGGA